RNAcentral lists this ribosomal RNA (495 nucleotides) under uncultured bacterium. RNAcentral's name for it is "partial 16S ribosomal RNA". It matches the Rfam family "Bacterial small subunit ribosomal RNA", at positions 28 to 507 of the family's 1533-position model. The record is from RNAcentral.
GACGAACGCUGGCGGCGUGCCUAAUACAUGCAAGUAGAACGCUGAAGGAGGAGCUUGCUCUUCUGGAUGAGUUGCGAACGGGUGAGUAGCGCGUAGGUAACCUGCCUGGUAGCGGGGGAUAACUAUUGGAAACGAUAGCUAAUACCGCAUAAGAGUAGAUGUUGCAUGACAUUUACUUAAAAGGUGCAAUUGCAUCACUACCAGAUGGACCUGCGUUGUAUUAGCUAGUUGGUGGGGUAACGGCUUACCAAGGCGACGAUACAUAGCCGACCUGAGAGGGGGAUCGGCCACACUGGGACUGGGACACGGCCCAGACUCCUACGGGGGGGAGCAGUAGGGAAUCUUCGGCAAUGGACGGAAGGCUGACCGAGCAACGCCGCGUGAGUGAAGAAGGUUUUCGGAUCGUAAAGCUCUGUUGUAAGAGAAGAACGAGUGUGAGAGUGGAAAGUUCACACUGUGACGGUAUCUUACCAGAAAGGGACGGCUAACUACGUG